AUACGGAGGGAGCGAGCGUUAAUCGGAAUUACUGGGCGUAAAGCGCGCGUAGGCGGCUUUGUAAGUCGGAUGUGAAAGCCCCGGGCUCAACCUGGGAAUUGCAUUCGAUACUGCAGAGCUAGAGUAUGGUAGAGGGAAGUGGAAUUUCCGGUGUAGCGGUGAAAUGCGUAGAUAUCGGAAGGAACACCAGUGGCGAAGGCGACUUCCUGGGCCAAUACUGACGCUGAGGUGCGAAAGCGUGGGGAGCAAACAGGAUUAGAUACCCGAGUAGUCC
Molecule: ribosomal RNA, 274 nt
Filed under: uncultured bacterium
Lineage: Bacteria
Description: partial 16S ribosomal RNA
Rfam family: Bacterial small subunit ribosomal RNA
Source: RNAcentral